This 494-nucleotide ribosomal RNA is filed under the name uncultured bacterium. RNAcentral describes it as "bacterial SSU rRNA". It matches the Rfam family "Bacterial small subunit ribosomal RNA", at positions 903 to 1397 of the family's 1533-position model. The record is from RNAcentral.
AAAGGAAUAGACGGGGGCCCGCACAAGCGGAGGAACAUGUGGUUCAAUUCGAUGAUACGCGAGGAACCUUACCUGGGUUUGAACGUAGGACGACAGUCGCCGAAAGGUGACCUCCCUUCGGGGCGGCCUACGAGGUGCUGCAUGGUUGUCGUCAGCUCGUGCCGUGAGGUGUCGGAUUAAGUUCCAUAACGAGCGCAACCCUUAUCGUUAGUUGCCAGCGGGUAAUGCCGGGGACUCUAACGAAACUGCCGGUGUAAACCGUGAGGAAGGUGGGGAUGACGUCAAAUCAGCACGGCCCUUACAUCCAGGGCUACACACGUGUUACAAUGGCCGGUACAGAAGGCUGCUACCCCGCGAGGGGAUGCUAAUCCCGAAAGCCGGUCUCAGUUCGGAUUGAAGUCUGCAACUCGACUUCAUGAAGCUGGAUUCGCUAGUAAUCGCGCAUCAGCAACGGCGCGGUGAAUACGUUCCCGGGCCUUGUACACACCGCCCGU